Long non-coding RNA from Melanotaenia boesemani (Boeseman's rainbowfish), 202 nucleotides. RefSeq lists it as uncharacterized. The record is from RefSeq and is a predicted model, not a curated record. NCBI's taxonomy places the organism in Eukaryota, Metazoa, Chordata, Actinopteri, Atheriniformes, Melanotaeniidae. The transcript has 2 exons.
ACUGGACAUAUACAGCUUUCACAUUAACUCUACUGUGGCCAGUCGUUAUGCCACCACUGUCAUCACAAGCCGUGUGGCCAAUCGUAUGAAUGAGUCAAAGGAAAUUGAAUUCCAUGUCCAGAUUCCUAAGAAUGCCUUCAUCAGUAAAUUCAAAAUGCUUAUUGAUGGUGAAGUGUAUGAUGGUGUUGUUAAAGCUAAGGAG